Molecule: long non-coding RNA, 1163 nt
Filed under: Pogona vitticeps (central bearded dragon)
Lineage: Eukaryota; Metazoa; Chordata; Lepidosauria; Squamata; Agamidae
Description: lncRNA (ENSPVIG00000015030.1)
Source: RNAcentral
CGACGUUAAUCCGUUCAUGGAUUAACGUCGCUAUCCGGAAACAUGACUAAACGGAACUGAAAACCCCAUAGGAACACAUUAAACUCCGUUUAAUGCGUUCCUAUGGGGCGAAAACUCACCGGUAAGCGAAGAUCCCCCAUCCAGCCGCCAUUUUCGCAAUCUCGGUAAGCGAGGGCAGGGCGCGAAAACGGAGCAGGCGACUAUUUUAUUCUUCCGGCGGCCAUUUUGGAACCGCCAGUCAGCUGUUUUUAGAACAUCGCGUUUCGCUUACCGAUAAUCGCAAUGCGAUUUUUGGCCUAUCUAAACAUCGCAAUGCGAUCGCAUUAGCGAUCGCAAAAAACGCAUCUCUGUGCGGAUUCGUCAUUAAACGGUGCGCUCAUUAAGCGAGGCACCACUGUAUUCAUAUAUUCUUUUAAUUAUUUUAUCACUUGUCCCUAGCAGUAGUUUAUCAGAUGUCAUUUGUUUUUCAUAAACCACUUUGUUUUAUCUUUUACAUAACUCAAGUCUAAUUGUAAUCUCGUCCACUAAUCUAGAAAGACUGUGCUCCUCUAAUUCCUCUCUAGGUUUGUUUGUUUGUUUUGUAGAUGGCUUUUUGUAGGUAGCGAUGAGGAGGAAUGGGCUGUUGAGUUUUACCUUUUGUAUUUUUCAGAGACUUCACAGAUCGUACAAAUAAAAGAUAUUCCUCAAUUUUAAAAGCUCCCAGAACUCCUCUUCGAGAUUUAGGGAGUGGAAAUGAAUUAAUUCAGGAAUGCAUUGUUGAGAAACAUCAGAAAAACUCUAGGCGUGUCAGUUUUGCUGAUACCAUAAGGAUCUUUCCACCAGAUCCUCAAGCCACUGUGGAACUAAACCAUGCAGGUGAGAACUUCAGUGUAUGUACGUACGUGUGUAUAUAUUAAUAAAUGUAUUAAUACAGGAAUAUAGGUAUAUACGACAAAACGUAAUAUACUAUCUAAUAUAUUGAUAUAUUUGCUACUAUUGCUGCAAAUGCUUGUCAUAACUCCGUUCUGUAACAUUUAUUUAUUUUAUUUGGUUUUAGGGACAACAGAAGAACCAAGACAUCAAAACGUAAUCACUAAGUAAGUUUGAAAUUAAAUUAUUAAACAAAAUGCUGAUUUUGUAAUAGUCCCAAACCUGUUUUCAGCUGUCUAAUACUAGUAAUAUUG